AUGCGGCACGUAGGAUGCUGCCCCGCGGCCGUGCGAGCGUGUGCUUCUGCCCGGGCAACCCGGGAGGCUGCCGCUUCCCCGCGGCAUCAAGUUCAUGGCAGGGUCGAGCCGUGGGUGUGCGGAUCCUGGCCACUGAGCUUUGCUGUCAGGUGGCCAAAACCAUGGAGCUGGUGGGUGAGAGGUUCUUCUGCCACUCAGGAAAUGUUUCUGGGGGAAAAAAGAGGGGAUGCUGAGGGAAGGGGGCUGGGAGUGUCCGCCUGCUGCCUGCCCGAGGCUGUCGGGGCUUCUCUCCCCGCUGGUGGGGUUUGCUGUGGGAACAAACGAGGCUGCUCUGGGGCAUCCCCCAGUCUGCUUUUCCCCAGCUCGGUGAUCCCCAGGCACUGGGCUGCUUGCAAAUUCACCCCAUCCAAAGCCUGCCUUUGGGGCAGGAAUGUAGCACAAGGGGACAGGAAAAGUUUAGCGCUCGUUUUCACCCACCCUCAAACACCAUCUGCUCUAACCUCACAGGAAAAUCCCCUUGCUGGGCAGGGAAACCCUCUGCGGAAGUGGAAACGGAGCGUUUGCGCUUGGAAAAUCACAAAGGAGCGAGGGAAGCUUGCACGGGCAAGACAUUUCCCAGAAGCGUGCUGCCGGCAGGUACAGCUCACCAGAGACGGGGUGAGAGCAGCAGCGAUCCCCCCGCUGCAGGCAGAGCACUGCCUGCUCUGCUGCCUGUCCCCGUCCCAGGAGCAGAGCUGGAAACCCACACGAGAAAAAACACCGGGGACUUUUGGUAGGGCAGCGCAGGGUCCCCGGGCUGCAAGUGAUGUUCCCAACAGAUCCCGUGGGGCUGGGACUGAGGACACGGCUCCUGUGCACGUCCCCUGCCCUCCACAGCAGAGGAAGCCCUUGGACCCCGUUAACCCUUUGUCCCACCCAGUGCCACGGGACAGCCCUGAGUGUUGCCAUAUGGGCAGGGGGAUGCGGGCUGGCACGUGUAAACAGGGGCUGGGCUGGGCGCGUUUAUGGCACACUGGAUUGCAGCAUUAUGGAGAUGGUUUGGGAGCGUUCCCAUAG
This 1056-nucleotide long non-coding RNA is filed under the name Cairina moschata (Muscovy duck). Its description in RNAcentral is "domestica (muscovy Duck (domestic type)) lncRNA (ENSCMMG00000005270.1)". The record is from RNAcentral. Lineage: Eukaryota; Metazoa; Chordata; Aves; Anseriformes; Anatidae.